RNAcentral lists this ribosomal RNA (479 nucleotides) under uncultured bacterium. Its description in RNAcentral is "bacterial SSU rRNA". It matches the Rfam family "Bacterial small subunit ribosomal RNA", at positions 28 to 501 of the family's 1533-position model. The record is from RNAcentral.
GAUGAACGCUAGCGGGAGGCUUAAUACAUGCAAGUCGAGCGGCAAGUUUUGAUAGCAAUAUUGGAACCUAGAGCGGCGCACGGGUGAGUAACGCGUACAUGACCUGCCCUAUACUGGGGGAUAGUCUUGGGAAACUGAGAAUAAUCCCGCAUGUGAUUAGAAUGCUGCAUGGCAAAUUAAUUAAAGCUGAGGCGGUAUAGGGAUGGGUGUGCGUCUGAUUAGCUAGUUGGUAGUGUAACGGACUACCAAGGCGAUGAUCAGUAGGGGGCGUGAGAGCGUGACCCCCACACGGGUACUGAGACACGGACCCGACUCCUACGGGAGGCAGCAGUAAGGAAUAUUGGUCAAUGGAGGGAACUCUGAACCAGCUAUCCCGCGUGAAGGAUGAAGGGGCUCUGCCUUGUAAACUGCUUUAGACUGAGACGAAAAAUGGGAUUUUUCCUACAUUGACGGUAUCAGUAGAAUAAGCACCGGCUAAC